AACGCGAAGAACCUUACCAGGACUCGACUUGCCCUCUAUCGGCCCCCGAAAAGGGGCCUUCACUUCGGGUGGGAGGAGCAAAGGUGCUGCAUGGCUGUCGUCAGCUCGUGUCGUGAGAUGUUGGGUUAAGUCCCGCAACGAGCGCAACCCUCGUCCUCUGUUGCUAACAGGUUAGGCUGAGCACUCUGAGGAAACUGCCGGUGAUAAGCCGGAGGAAGGUGGGGAUGACGUCAAGUCCUCAUGGCCCUUACGUCCUGGGCUACACACGUGUUACAAUGGCGGUGACAAUGGGUCGCGAUCGCGCAAGCGCUAGCCAAUCCCCAAAAGCCGCCUCAGUUCGGAUUGCACUCUGCAACUCGAGUGCAUGAAGCUGGAAUCGCUAGUAAUCGUGGAUCAGCACGCCACGGUGAAUACGUUCCCGGGCCUUGUACACACCGGUACUA
Molecule: ribosomal RNA, 443 nt
Filed under: uncultured bacterium
Lineage: Bacteria
Description: bacterial SSU rRNA
Rfam family: Bacterial small subunit ribosomal RNA
Source: RNAcentral